Molecule: small RNA, 493 nt
Filed under: Pan troglodytes (chimpanzee)
Lineage: Eukaryota; Metazoa; Chordata; Mammalia; Primates; Hominidae
Description: processed transcript
Source: RNAcentral
AAUUAUGAUUGAUAGGGAAUAGUGCUCUUAGGGGACCAGGGUUUUGAAAGAAGGGUUGUCCUGGGGUUUCUGGACCUCUGCCAGCCAGCUGUCAUGAUGCAAAUUGAGGAGAGUCAAGUAGAAUGAAGAAAUACAAGAAACCCAAGUUUAUCCCUUGCUUUGUGUUCCUUCCGGAUGGAGACAUUCUCACUGGAGACUCAGAGGGGAACAUUCUCACCUGGGGGCGGAGCCCUUCAGAUUCCAAGACCCCAGGCAGGGGUGGCGCCAAAGAGACCUAUGGGAUUGUGGCCCAGGCUCACGCUCAUGAAGGUUCUAUCUUCGCCUUGUGUCUCCGGAGGGACGGGACAGUGCUGAGUGGUGGCGGGCGGGACCGCCGGCUGGUACAGUGGGGGCCCGGGUUGGUGGCCCUCCAGGAGGCUGAGAUUCCCGAGCACUUUGGGGCCGUGCGAGCCAUUGCUGAAGGGCUUGGCUCUGAGCUGCUGGUGGGAACCAC